This 254-nucleotide ribosomal RNA is filed under the name uncultured bacterium. RNAcentral describes it as "partial 16S ribosomal RNA". It matches the Rfam family "Bacterial small subunit ribosomal RNA", at positions 524 to 776 of the family's 1533-position model. The record is from RNAcentral.
UACGUAGGGUGCAAGCGUUAUCCGGAAUUAUUGGGCGUAAAGAGCUCGUAGGCGGCUUGUCGCGUCUGCUGUGAAAUCCCGAGGCUCAACCUCGGGCCUGCAGUGGGUACGGGCAGGCUCGAGUUCGGUAGGGGGAGACUGGAAUUCCUGGUGUAGCGGUGAAAUGCGCAGAUAUCAGGAGGAACACCGGUGGCGAAGGCGGGUCUCUGGGCCGAUACUGACGCUGAGGAGCGAAAGCGUGGGGAGCGAACAGG